UACGUAGGUGGCAAGCGUUAUCCGGAAUUAUUGGGCGUAAAGCGCGCGCAGGUGGUUUCUUAAGUCUGAUGUGAAAGCCCGCGGCUCAACCGUGGAGGGUCAUUGGAAACUGGGAGACUUGAGUGCAGAAGAGGAAAGUGGAAUUCCAUGUGUAGCGGUGAAAUGCGUAGAGAUAUGGAGGAACACCAGUGGCGAAGGCGACUUUCUGGUCUGUAACUGACACUGAGGCGCGAAAGCGUGGGGAGCAAACAGG
RNAcentral lists this ribosomal RNA (253 nucleotides) under uncultured bacterium. RNAcentral describes it as "partial 16S ribosomal RNA". It matches the Rfam family "Bacterial small subunit ribosomal RNA", at positions 524 to 776 of the family's 1533-position model. The record is from RNAcentral.